RNAcentral lists this non-coding RNA (754 nucleotides) under Drosophila ananassae. Its description in RNAcentral is "Eukaryotic large subunit ribosomal RNA". It matches the Rfam family "Eukaryotic large subunit ribosomal RNA", at positions 2699 to 3401 of the family's 3401-position model. The record is from Rfam by way of RNAcentral. Lineage: Eukaryota; Metazoa; Arthropoda; Insecta; Diptera; Drosophilidae.
GCCAAAAAAAUUAAAUGAAAAUUUGUUUUACAGUACACCACAAAGGAAAAAAAAAAGAAUGGUAUCUAUUCUAUCGUUUUGGUUUAAAGAGUUUUUAACAGAAGGAGUCCAAAAAAGUUCCCCAUAGGGGAAAAUGGCUUGGGAGACGCAAGGGUUGUUUGCGACGUCGCUUUUUGAUCCAUGAUCGUCGGUUUUUUUUAUCAUUGUAAAGCCAAAAUUCCACCAAGCGUUGGAUUGUUCACCCAUGCAAGGGAAACUUGAGCUGGGUAUAGACCGUUGUGAUACAGGUUAGUUUUUACCCUACUAAUGACAAAACGUUGCUGUGACAGCAUUCGUGCGUAGUACGAGAGGAACCGCAGGUACGGACCAAUGGCACAAUACUUGUUCGAGCGAACAGUGGUAUGACGCUACGUCCGUUGGAUUAUGCCUGAACGCCUCUAAGGUCGUAUCCGUGCUGGACUGCAAUGAUAAAUAAGGGGCAAUUUGCAUUGUAUGGCUUCUAAACCAUUUAAAGUUUAUUAUUUAUAUUUUAAACGACAAUGGAUGUGAUGCCAAUGUAAUUUGUAACAUAGUAAAUUGGGAGGAUCUUUGAUCACCUGGUGCCAUGCUAGUUACAUAUGAAAACAUUAUUUAAUACAAUGACAAAGCCUAGAAUCAAUUGUAAACGACUUUUGUAACGGGCAAGGUGUUGUAAGUGGUUGAGCAGCUGCCAUACUGCGAUCCACUGAAGCUUAUCCUUUGCUUGAUGAUUCGA